RNAcentral lists this ribosomal RNA (1435 nucleotides) under uncultured organism. RNAcentral describes it as "16S ribosomal RNA". It matches the Rfam family "Bacterial small subunit ribosomal RNA". The record is from RNAcentral.
CAGGCUUAACACAUGCAAGUCGAGGGGCAUCAGGAAGAAAGCUUGCUUUCUUUGCUGGCGACCGGCGCACGGGUGAGUAACACGUAUCCAACCUGCCCUUUACUCGGGGAUAGCCUUUCGAAAGAAAGAUUAAUACCCGAUGGCAUAAUGAUUCCGCAUGGUUUCAUUAUUAAAGGAUUCCGGUAAAGGAUGGGGAUGCGUUCCAUUAGGUUGUUGGUGAGGUAACGGCUCACCAAGCCUUCGAUGGAUAGGGGUUCUGAGAGGAAGGUCCCCCACAUUGGAACUGAGACACGGUCCAAACUCCUACGGGAGGCAGCAGUGAGGAAUAUUGGUCAAUGGGCGCUAGCCUGAACCAGCCAAGUAGCGUGAAGGAUGAAGGCUCUAUGGGUCGUAAACUUCUUUUAUAUAAGAAUAAAGUGCAGUAUGUAUACUGUUUUGUAUGUAUUAUAUGAAUAAGGAUCGGCUAACUCCGUGCCAGCAGCCGCGGUAAUACGGAGGAUCCGAGCGUUAUCCGGAUUUAUUGGGUUUAAAGGGAGCGUAGGUGGACUGGUAAGUCAGUUGUGAAAGUUUGCGGCUCAACCGUAAAAUUGCAGUUGAUACUGUCAGUCUUGAGUACAGUAGAGGUGGGCGGAAUUCGUGGUGUAGCGGUGAAGUGCUUAGAUAUCACGAAGAACUCCGAUUGCGAAGGCAGCUCACUGGACUGCAACUGACACUGAUGCUCGAAAGUGUGGGUAUCAAACAGGAUUAGAUACCCUGGUAGUCCACACAGUAAACGAUGAAUACUCGCUGUUUGCGAUAUACAGUAAGCGGCCAAGCGAAAGCAUUAAGUAUUCCACCUGGGGAGUACGCCGGCAACGGUGAAACUCAAAGGAAUUGACGGGGGCCCGCACAAGCGGAGGAACAUGUGGUUUAAUUCGAUGAUACGCGAGGAACCUUACCCGGGCUUAAAUUGCAGUGGAAUGAUGUGGAAACAUGUCAGUGAGCAAUCACCGCUGUGAAGGUGCUGCAUGGUUGUCGUCAGCUCGUGCCGUGAGGUGUCGGCUUAAGUGCCAUAACGAGCGCAACCCUUAUCUUUAGUUACUAACAGGUUAUGCUGAGGACUCUAGAGAGACUGCCGUCGUAAGAUGUGAGGAAGGUGGGGAUGACGUCAAAUCAGCACGGCCCUUACGUCCGGGGCUACACACGUGUUACAAUGGGGGGUACAGAAGGCAGCUAGCGGGUGACCGUAUGCUAAUCCCAAAAGCCUCUCUCAGUUCGGAUCGAAGUCUGCAACCCGACUUCGUGAAGCUGGAUUCGCUAGUAAUCGCGCAUCAGCCACGGCGCGGUGAAUACGUUCCCGGGCCUUGUACACACCGCCCGUCAAGCCAUGGGAGCCGGGGGUACCUGAAGUACGUAACCGCAAGGAUCGUCCUAGGGUAAAACUGGUGACUGGGGC